GACGAACGCUGGCGGCGUGCCUAAUACAUGCAAGUCGAGCGGACGGAUGGGAGCUUGCUCCCAGACCGUCAGCGGCGGACGGGUGAGUAACACGUGGGCAACCUGCCUGUAAGACUGGGAUAACUCCGGGAAACCGGGGCUAAUACCGGAUAACUCUUUCCCUCACAUGAGGGAAAGCUGAAAGAUGGCAUCUCGCUAUCACUUACAGAUGGGCCCGCGGCGCAUUAGCUAGUUGGUGAGGUAACGGCUCACCAAGGCGACGAUGCGUAGCCGACCUGAGAGGGUGAUCGGCCACACUGGGACUGAGACACGGCCCAGACUCCUACGGGAGGCAGCAGUAGGGAAUCUUCCGCAAUGGACGAAAGUCUGACGGAGCAACGCCGCGUGAGUGAUGAAGGUUUUCGGAUCAUAAAACUCUGUUGUCAGGGAAGAACAAGUACCGGAGUAACUGCCGGUACCUUGACGGUACCUGACCAGAAAGCCACGGCUAACUACGUG
Molecule: ribosomal RNA, 498 nt
Filed under: uncultured bacterium
Lineage: Bacteria
Description: partial 16S ribosomal RNA
Rfam family: Bacterial small subunit ribosomal RNA
Source: RNAcentral